This is a long non-coding RNA of Carassius auratus (goldfish), 1404 nucleotides long. RefSeq lists it as uncharacterized. The record is from RefSeq and is a predicted model, not a curated record. The transcript has 3 exons. Lineage: Eukaryota; Metazoa; Chordata; Actinopteri; Cypriniformes; Cyprinidae.
GAGUUGGUGAAAUAAUGGCAGAGAGCAUUACUCAGGAUGGACCUUUUUCAUGGAGUGGAUUUACAAUUUCAUUUCUUCCGGGAGAUUAAUAAAGAUGAGCUGACAUAACAGAUGCAGACCUGCUAGAUCUGAUUGACAAGAUUGAGACUGCAGACACUACAGCCUUGCUUGAGCUUUCUGAAAGAAUCGUAGCAUGUGGUACACAGGAUCCUAACAUGUGAUGAAAGGAAGACAUUGUCAGCUUUUUACAGGUUUUCCAUUGUCAUGAGAAAUAAUGAAAUAUCUGAUGUCCCUGUCACUGUUUUAAGUGCGGUGGGUUCAGUGAAGCGCAGAGAGAAUCACGGAUUGUGAACUACUUGCAGGACUUCAUUCAAAGCCUUGAAGAUGAAGGAACAUCAUUACUCUUACUCUUAAUACUUAAAUUACAUCAGUUCAACAACGGACCGGGCAUCUGACCAGUCAGAGCAGAGAGGGCUUGUGGAAAAGACUGAAGAUUUGGAUCACUUCACACUUUUGAAUAGAAACUUGUUGUAGGAAACCUCUUAAACAAUUGUAAAACAGUAUAUUAGGGGCACUUUAAAAAUGUGAGGUAUUGUCAGUCCAAGUUCAGAGACUGUUAACACAAGUAAGGUUGCAGACAUAGAUGUGUGUGUUUUCUGCAGAAGAAGGGAGCAGCAGUAAGGAGAGCAGGGUUGAAGAUGACAGCGAACAGGUGAUAAAACAAACUGCACUAAAGGAGAUGCAGAACAAGACAAGAUCACCGUCAGCAGUUUCAUGCAGUGGAUUACUGGUCAGGGACAUGUCUCCAUUACUUCUGCACAUUUGAUCCUGACUGUCAGCUUCGAUAUGGUCAGCAUAGUUUCUGCUUGCCUCUAGUAAAUGCAUGUUCCUGUACUGUAACCUACACAGCAGCGAGAGACAAACACAGAGUUCCUCAGUCCCACUUUACAUGUCCCUAAACCGACCUGUCUCUACCCCUGGAUCUAGAUCCAUCUCCUCCAACUUUAAAUAUGUCUUAACCGAGCGUCUCUGCUCGCUGGAUCUUGUGUGUUCUGCAGUGAGGGCUACUGACUAAGACAGCAUUACCAUUCCUCGUAUCUCUCAGAUCGCUCAUUAUUUGUGUGCAUCACUCCAAUCUGCCACAGCUGCUCGGGACUUCGAUUGUCCUCUGAGGAGAGUGAAUGAUGAUUCCAGGCUUCUGAACAUGUGUCCAAGUCUGCCUGAAGUCUUGGGAGAAAAGUGUAGUGCACACUGAAAAGCUCCUCAAUCACUGAUCUGUCGAGCAAUCCUUCUGCUCCAGCGAGUGCAGCGUGUCUGAGGACUUGUUGGUGACCGUGAUUCUGACAUCACCCCAGAGACGCUCAAUCCUGUUAGAAACAAUACAAAUUGAAAUCCAAAAAAAAA